UUUGCUCUCGAAUAACUGAAUGAGUUAUUGAUCUCUGUUCGGUUCAGACAGGAGCAUAUAGUGACGGUAUCGAACUUGUUGCUCGGAUCGUUAUUUAAUCUUCUGUAUUAGUUUGGAGUUUU
Helianthus annuus (common sunflower) is the source of this 122-nucleotide non-coding RNA. The record is from Rfam. NCBI's taxonomy places the organism in Eukaryota, Viridiplantae, Streptophyta, Magnoliopsida, Asterales, Asteraceae.